ACAUCAGCUUUGUUGCAGCAAUGAUGCUUAAUAAAUAACACCACUCCAUAAUAUGUUCGCUCGGUAGAGAUAAUAAUCAUUGACUUGUAACUGCAACUGUGAAUCUGUGAUGGUUUUUUUUUUUGGUCUGAUGCAACGCUGAUUAUACUCAAUACUAAAAGGCAAACACUGAAAUACUAUUAAUCACUGUUCAAUGAACAGUUCACACCGAUUUUGCCCCUGCAUUUUCUGAAAUUUUACCUGAUUACUGUUUGCAUGCAGAUAGGAAGAAAGAAGACGACAUCUUGCUUCUGCGGAUGGUUUUGAUCUGAUGGGAGACGAAGAUAUCAACGACAGUUUUGAUCUGGAUUCUGCCGACACAGAGAAAAAGAGAGGAGACGAAGAUGAAAUAUCAGCCUCUGGAAAUUGAGCUAGCCCACGAAGCUACUUCGUAUAUGUAAUUUUGCUGACGGAGUCUUCAACAGCAGUGGUAACUCAUUUCAUAUAAGAAUAGUUUGGAGACAAUGUCUAUUGGAAGCAUGUCUCCACUUUUUGUGUGUGCAGCUACUUCGUAUAUGUAAUUUUGCUGACGGAGUCUUCAACAGCAGUGGUAACUCAUUUCAUAUAAGAAUAUUUUGGAGACAAUGUCUAUUGGAAGCAUGUUGUGCACCACACCAAAGCAUGUAAGGUUGUACUGCAUGGACAUGCUGAGUUUGAGGCAAGUGAUGUUAUCUUAAAGGUUUCAUUUUCAGCUUCUCCUGUAAUUCUGAUUUUUUUUUCCUCUCAUGUUGGUAGGUUAUUUUUUGGAACAUGGAAACAGACUGAAAGCACACUGGAAGAUCACAUGAUGAUCGUUACUGAUGUUCGAUUUAGAACAAAUCUCCUGAACAGAAUAUGGACAAGUAUGAUGGUAGAGUUUGUAUGAGUUCAGAGUCGAUGAGUAGAAUAGAGGCAAUGUUUGAAGCUGAACUUGAGAGGUUGGGGCUAAACAGGAGUACUUCUACUUUGGAGAGAAGAUUAACUGAUCUUGAUGAGCUUCCAAACAGUGUUCAUCAAGUUUCUGAAGAUUACAUUUGGGAAAGCUUUAUACUUUACAGGCCAAUGUUUACAUCAGAGGAAGUGGAGGUUCUCAGUCUAAACCAAUUCUUGCUGGCUAUUCAUCAUGCACACCCUCGGUCAGAAACCAUGUUGCUUCUUCACCAUCAAAGUUUUGAUUUCUCUCUUGGCCGCCAUAACAUCAGCAACUAGAACUUACCCGGUGCCUCCAAAUGGUCACAGAACACGAGGCCUAGGCGCUUUAGAGAUGAGUGCACCAGCUGUGAACAACAGACUGCUGCUGUUAGAUUUGCAGCACCAGAUCAAGGUGGAAGUGGCUUCUCAGGAUCAUCUUCAUGUUCUAUCAAAGCGUCCUAAAAUCCCACCUUCUGGCCCAAGCCACAGGACCAACAAGACACCUAAUUCCUCAAGACAUUACUAAACACUUUUGUUAUUUGUAUAUAGAGAACAGCUUUGGUUAGAGUAUCAUACAUGAAAUGUGUACAUACAUGAAACAGCUUCAAUUAUAUAUUAUGUCCAAUAACGUUUGUUGGAACUCGGAAAAAGGAAAAAACAACCCGCAGCUACG
This is an RNA transcript of Rosa chinensis, 1603 nucleotides long. RefSeq lists it as uncharacterized. The transcript has 4 exons. NCBI's taxonomy places the organism in Eukaryota, Viridiplantae, Streptophyta, Magnoliopsida, Rosales, Rosaceae. The record is from RefSeq and is a predicted model, not a curated record.